UCCCUGCUGGCUCAGAACGGUAAAGAAUCUGCCUGCAAUGCAAGAGACCCAGGUUCAAUCCCUGGGUGGGGAA
This 73-nucleotide transfer RNA is filed under the name Ovis aries (sheep). It matches the Rfam family "tRNA". Rfam says of the family: Transfer RNA (tRNA) molecules are approximately 80 nucleotides in length. Their secondary structure includes four short double-helical elements and three loops (D, anti-codon, and T loops). Further hydrogen bonds mediate the characteristic L-shaped molecular structure. tRNAs have two regions of fundamental functional importance: the anti-codon, which is responsible for specific mRNA codon recognition, and the 3' end, to which the tRNAs corresponding amino acid is attached (by aminoacyl-tRNA synthetases). tRNAs cope with the degeneracy of the genetic code in two manners: having more than one tRNA (with a specific anti-codon) for a particular amino acid; and 'wobble' base-pairing, i.e. permitting non-standard base-pairing at the 3rd anti-codon position. Lineage: Eukaryota; Metazoa; Chordata; Mammalia; Artiodactyla; Bovidae. The record is from Rfam by way of RNAcentral.